UUCCGGUUGAUCCUGCCGGAGGUCACUGCUAUUGGGAUUCGACUAAGCCAUGCGAGUCGAGAGGGUUCGGCCCUCGGCUGACGGCUCAGUAACACGUGGAUAAUCUGCCCUUAGGUGGAGGAUAACCUCGGGAAACUGAGAAUAAUACUCCAUAGGUCUAGGAGGCUGGAAUGCACUUAGACUGAAAGUUCCGGCGCCUAAGGAUGAGUCUGCGGACUAUCAGGUGGUAGUCAGGGUAAAGACCUGACUAGCCUACGACGGAUACGGGUUGUGAGAGCAAUAACCCGGAGACGAUAUCUGAGACACGAUAUCGGGCCCUACGGGGCGCAGCAGGCGCGAAAACUUCACACUGUGCGAAAGCACGAUGAGGGAAUCCCAAGUGCCAGCUCGUAAGAGUUGGCUGUUUUUCUGUCUAAAAAACAGAGAGAGUAAGGGCUGGGUAAGACGGGUGCCAGCCGCCGCGGUAAUACCUGCAGCUCAAGUGGUGGCCGUUAUUAUUGGGCCUAAAACGUCCGUAGCCGGUUUAGUAAAUGCCUGGGUAAAUCGCGUAGCUUAACUAUGCGAAUUCCGGGUAGACUGCUAGACUUGAGACCGGGAGAAGCUAGAGGUACUCCUGGGGUAGAGGUGAAAUUCUGUAAUCCUAGGGGGACCACCAGUGGCGAAGGCGUCUAGCUAGAACGGGUCUGACGGUGAGGGACGAAACCCUGGGUCGCAAACCGGAUUAGAUACCCGGGUAGUCCAGGGCGUAAACGCUGCUUGCUUGAUGUUAGUUGGGCUCCGAGCCCAAUUAGUGUCGGAGAGAAGUUGUUAAGCAAGCUGCCUGGGAAGUACGGUCGCAAGACUGAAACUUAAAGGAAUUGGCGGGGGAGCACAGCAACGGGUGGAGCGUGCGGUUUAAUUGGACUCAACGCCGGU
RNAcentral lists this ribosomal RNA (915 nucleotides) under uncultured archaeon. Its description in RNAcentral is "bacterial SSU rRNA". It matches the Rfam family "Archaeal small subunit ribosomal RNA", at positions 1 to 922 of the family's 1478-position model. The record is from RNAcentral.